This 138-nucleotide ribosomal RNA is filed under the name Aliiglaciecola sp. M165. Its description in RNAcentral is "partial 23S ribosomal RNA". It matches the Rfam family "Bacterial large subunit ribosomal RNA", at positions 2804 to 2925 of the family's 2925-position model. Lineage: Bacteria; Pseudomonadati; Pseudomonadota; Gammaproteobacteria; Alteromonadales; Alteromonadaceae. The record is from RNAcentral.
AUGAGUCAUCCCUGAUAGUUUAACUAUCCUAAAGGGUUGUUGAAGACUACGACGUAGAUAGGCAGGGUGUGGAAGCGUUGCAAGGCGUUAAGCUAACCUGUACUAAUUGCCCGUGAGACUUAACCAUACAACACCCAA